UACGUAGGGUGCAAGCGUUAAUCGGAAUUACUGGGCGUAAAGCGUGCGCAGGCGGUUUUGUAAGUCUGUCGUGAAAUCCCCGGGCUCAACCUGGGAAUGGCGAUGGAGACUGCAAGGCUAGAAUCUGGCAGAGGGGGGUAGAAUUCCACGUGUAGCAGUGAAAUGCGUAGAGAUGUGGAGGAACACCGAUGGCGAAGGCAGCCCCCUGGGUCAAGAUUGACGCUCAUGCACGAAAGCGUGGGGAGCAAACGGG
This 253-nucleotide ribosomal RNA is filed under the name uncultured bacterium. Its description in RNAcentral is "partial 16S ribosomal RNA". It matches the Rfam family "Bacterial small subunit ribosomal RNA", at positions 524 to 776 of the family's 1533-position model. The record is from RNAcentral.